RNAcentral lists this ribosomal RNA (253 nucleotides) under uncultured bacterium. Its description in RNAcentral is "partial 16S ribosomal RNA". It matches the Rfam family "Bacterial small subunit ribosomal RNA", at positions 524 to 776 of the family's 1533-position model. The record is from RNAcentral.
UACGAAGGUCCCAAGCGUUAUCCGGAUUUAUUGGGUUUAAAGGGUGCGUAGGCGGGCUAUUAAGUCAGUGGUGAAAGCUCUCGGCCUAACCGAGAAAUUGCCAUUGAUACUGAUGGUCUUGAGCACAUUUGAGGCGGGCGGAAUGUGUCAUGUAGCGGUGAAAUGCUUAGAUAUGACACAGAACACCGAUUGCGUAGGCAGCUCGCUAAACUGUAACUGACGCUGAGGCACGAAAGCGUGGGGAGCAAACAGG